AGCGAACGCUGGCGGCAGGCCUAACACAUGCAAGUCGAGCGGAUGUAGCAAUACAUCAGCGGCAGACGGGAGAGUAACACGUGGGAACGUACCCUUUGGUUCGGAACAACACAGGGAAACUUGUGCUAAUACCGGAUAAGCCCUAACGGGGAAAGAUUUAUCGCCAUUGGAUCGGCCCGCGUCUGAUUAGCUAGUUGGUGGGGUAACGGCCCACCAAGGCGACGAUCAGUAGCUGGUCUGAGAGGAUGAUCAGCCUCACUGGGACUGAGACACGGCCCAGACUCCUACGGGAGGCAGCAGUGGGGAAUAUUAGACAAUGGGCGCAACCCUGAUCCAGCCAUGCCGCGUGAGUGAUGAAGGCCCUAGGGUUGUAAAGCUCUUUCAGCUGGGAAGAUAAUGACGGUACCAGCAGAAGAAGCCCCGGCUAACUCCGUGCCAGCCGCCGCCGUAACAC
RNAcentral lists this ribosomal RNA (454 nucleotides) under uncultured bacterium. RNAcentral describes it as "bacterial SSU rRNA". It matches the Rfam family "Bacterial small subunit ribosomal RNA", at positions 29 to 526 of the family's 1533-position model. The record is from RNAcentral.